Molecule: ribosomal RNA, 437 nt
Filed under: Triparma pacifica
Lineage: Eukaryota; Bolidophyceae; Parmales; Triparmaceae
Description: partial Bacterial large subunit ribosomal RNA
Rfam family: Bacterial large subunit ribosomal RNA
Source: RNAcentral
GGCUGAUACCGCCCAAGAGUUCAUAUCGACGGCGGUGUUUGGCACCUCGAUGUCGGCUCAUCGCAUCCUGGGGCUGAAGGCGGUCCCAAGGGUUAGGCUGUUCGCCUAUUAAAGCGGUACGCGAGCUGGGUUCAGACCGGCGUGAGCCAGGUCGGUCCCUAUCUGUUGUGGGCGUUGCAAACUUGAGAGGAGUCAACUUUAGUACGAGAGGAUUAGGUUGGACUGACCCCUGGUGAUCCUGUUGGGCUGCUAAGCCCAUCGCAGGGUAGCUACGUCGGGCAGGGAUAACAGCUGAAAGCAUCUAAGCAGGAAGCCCCCCUCGAGAUCAGGUUUGCUUGUCUUGUACGUGAGACCCCUGGGAGACUACCAGGUUGAUAGGCCGCAGGUGUAAGGGUUGAGAAGCCCUCAGCUGAGCGGUACUAACGGUCGAAGGUUUG